Molecule: non-coding RNA, 90 nt
Organism: Pelobates cultripes (western spadefoot toad)
Lineage: Eukaryota; Metazoa; Chordata; Amphibia; Anura; Pelobatidae
Source: the annotation of a GenBank genome assembly
AAACCCUAUAUAUUACUUGUAUAUUGUGUGUGUGUGUGUGUGUGUAUACACACACACACACACACACACACAAUAUACAAGUAAUAUAUA